This 492-nucleotide ribosomal RNA is filed under the name uncultured bacterium. Its description in RNAcentral is "partial 16S ribosomal RNA". It matches the Rfam family "Bacterial small subunit ribosomal RNA", at positions 29 to 507 of the family's 1533-position model. The record is from RNAcentral.
AGUGAACGCUGGCGGUAGGCCUAACACAUGCAAGUCGAACGGCAGCACAGUAAGAGCUUGCUCUUACGGGUGGCGAGUGGCGGACGGGUGAGGAAUACAUCGGAAUCUACUUUUUCGUGGGGGAUAACGUAGGGAAACUUACGCUAAUACCGCAUACGACCUACGGGUGAAAGCAGGGGAUCUUCGGACCUUGCGCGAUUGAAUGAGCCGAUGUCGGAUUAGCUAGUUGGCGGGGUAAAGACCCACCAAGGCGACGAUCCGUAGCUGGUCUGAGAGGAUGAUCAGCCACACUGGAACUGAGACACGGUCCAGACUCCUACGGGAGGCAGCAGUGGGGAAUAUUGGACAAUGGGCGCAGGCCUGAUCCAGCCAUACCGCGUGGGUGAAGAAGGCCUUCGGGUUGUAAAGCCCUUUUGUUGGGAAAGAAAAGCAGCAGGUUAAUACCCCGCUGUUCUGACGGUACCCAAAGAAUAAGCACCGGCUAACUUCGUG